Molecule: long non-coding RNA, 356 nt
Organism: Erinaceus europaeus (western European hedgehog)
Lineage: Eukaryota; Metazoa; Chordata; Mammalia; Eulipotyphla; Erinaceidae
Exons: 3
Source: RefSeq, a predicted model, not a curated record
AUGUUUUCUUUGGCGUCAUGAACAGGAUACAGAAGACUGGGACAGUGGCCAGGGCCCAGUGCUUUGCGUUUUUCUACACUGCAGAAACCUGUUGAUGAUGCCAAGUGAGGACUUGCCAUGCUUCUGAAAACUUGUGUAACAAGUCACCAAGUUGCAGAUGCUACCAUGAUGCCAACCUGACUUCCCUGGACAGAGGACCUCACCAAUGUACGCUGGACCCUCACCUCUCCAGAACCCUGCCCCACUAGGGAAAGAUAGAAACAAGCUGGGAGUAUGGAUCAACCCACCAAUGCCCAUGCUCAGUGGAGAAGCAAUUACAGAAGCCAGACCUUCCACCUUCUGCAUCCCACAGUGAC